RNAcentral lists this ribosomal RNA (506 nucleotides) under uncultured bacterium. RNAcentral describes it as "partial 16S ribosomal RNA". It matches the Rfam family "Bacterial small subunit ribosomal RNA", at positions 29 to 523 of the family's 1533-position model. The record is from RNAcentral.
AGUGAACGCUGGCGGUAGGCCUAACACAUGCAAGUCGAACGGCAGCACAGGAGAGCUUGCUCUCUGGGUGGCGAGUGGCGGACGGGUGAGGAAUACAUCGGAAUCUACUUUUUCGUGGGGGAUAACGUAGGGAAACUUACGCUAAUACCGCAUACGACCUACGGGUGAAAGCAGGGGAUCUUCGGACCUUGCGCGAUUGAACGAGCCGAUGUCGGAUUAGCUAGUUGGCGGGGUAAAGGCCCACCAAGGCGACGAUCCGUAGCUGGUCUGAGAGGAUGAUCAGCCACACUGGAACUGAGACACGGUCCAGACUCCUACGGGAGGCAGCAGUGGGGAAUAUUGGACAAUGGGCGCAAGCCUGAUCCAGCCAUACCGCGUGGGUGAAGAAGGCCUUCGGGUUGUAGAGCCCUUUUGUUGGGAAAGAAAUCCAGCUGGUUAAUACCCGGUUGGGAUGACGGUACCCAAAGAAUAAGCACCGGCUAACUUCGUGCCAGCAGCCGCCGCAG